UAGCUAGUUGGUGGGGUAAGGGCCUACCAAGGCGACGAUCGGUAGCUGGUCUGAGAGGAUGACCAGCCACACUGGAACUGAGACACGGUCCAGACUCCUACGGGAGGCAGCAGUGGGGAAUAUUGGACAAUGGGGGCAACCCUGAUCCAGCAAUGCCGCGUGUGUGAAGAAGGCCUGAGGGUUGUAAAGCACUUUCAGUGGGGAGGAGGGUUGAUAGGUUAAGAGCUAAUUAACUGGACGUUACCCACAGAAGAAGCACCGGCUAACUCCGUGCCAGCAGCCGCGGUAAUACGGAGGGUGCGAGCGUUAAUCGGAAUUACUGGGCGUAAAGGGUGCGUAGGUGGUUGAUUAAGUUAUCUGUGAAAUUCCUGGGCUUAACCUGGGACGGUCAGAUAAUACUGGUUGACUCGAGUAUGGGAGAGGGUAGUGGAAUUUCCGGUGUAGCGGUGAAAUGCGUAGAGAUCGGAAGGAACACCAGUGGCGAAGGCGGCUACCUGGCCUAAUACUGACACUGAGGCACGAAAGCGUGGGGAACAAACAGGAUUAGAUACCCUGGUAGUCCACGCUGUAAACGAUGUCAACUAGCUGUUGGUUAUAUGAAAAUAAUUAGUGGCGC
This 616-nucleotide ribosomal RNA is filed under the name uncultured Legionella sp. RNAcentral describes it as "bacterial SSU rRNA". It matches the Rfam family "Bacterial small subunit ribosomal RNA", at positions 242 to 849 of the family's 1533-position model. The record is from RNAcentral. Lineage: Bacteria; Pseudomonadati; Pseudomonadota; Gammaproteobacteria; Legionellales; Legionellaceae.